CUCAUGAUCCGGCGAAAUGCGUCUCUUUUCUGGUAGUGUUUCUGAUCUUUGCGGUUCUUCUUGGACAUCUGUCCGAAGGGGAAACGGUAGGCGGCAAACUAAAAAUCCCAAGACGAAGACCAAGACCAACACAGUGCUGUCCUCCAAAUUGCCCUUGCUGUGAUCCAUUCAACCCUUGUACAUGCUUCGCCCCGUGUCCACCGGAUUAUUAGAUUGCUGUCCAGUGAUGUCAUAGCCGAAUAUGGAAGAUCCUUCAUGAGCUGAUUUUGAAACUGUCAAUAUAAACAAGAAGAUGUCUGUUUGUCGAUUAAUUAAAAAGACUUAACACUUGAA
Macrobrachium nipponense is the source of this 333-nucleotide long non-coding RNA. RefSeq lists it as uncharacterized. The transcript has 3 exons. The record is from RefSeq and is a predicted model, not a curated record. NCBI's taxonomy places the organism in Eukaryota, Metazoa, Arthropoda, Malacostraca, Decapoda, Palaemonidae.